RNAcentral lists this long non-coding RNA (649 nucleotides) under Populus trichocarpa (black cottonwood). RNAcentral describes it as "long non-coding RNA (PTRI_LNC001565)". Lineage: Eukaryota; Viridiplantae; Streptophyta; Magnoliopsida; Malpighiales; Salicaceae. The record is from RNAcentral.
ACCGAAGACAAGGAGGCAUACAUAGAAUAUGUCCUCGUAAAUGAUGGGAAAGUGAUGGACAUAUUGCACACCUAUGUGCCAUAUUGCACACCUAUGUGCCACGUUCCAAAAGGGGAUUAGGCAUGGCUUCUCACCUCUGUGUUGCAGCCUUCGAUCACCCCACUUGUUCUUAUGUCUCUGUAAGUUCAAUUAUCCUAUUAGUUUCUCUUUCUGGGUUUUCCUUCUUCUUUUUCCUGCAGUCUUUGAUACUUUUUUUGGCCCUUUUGCCUUUCGGGUCUUGUUAUUGUGGUAUGAUCUGUAUGUUUGGUGGGUUUAUUAAUCUUUAGGAUAUGGAUUUAUCAUUUUUGUAAUAUUUUUCUAUAUGCCUCGGGUCGCCUUUGUGUUUUUCAUUGACAAAUGCAGGAAAAUACGAGUAAUUAAAUUGACAUUAACAGCUUUGUAUCCUCUGAAUUUAAGGCAUGAGAAUUUUUGCAAUUCAAUCCAUUUCGACUACGAUUCAACUGUAAAUCUAUUUCUUGACUACUGAUUCGCAUCCUACUGGUCUGAUUAGCUUCAAUUUUUAUUAGAACCAUAAGCAAAGCCCCGUUACUGUUUUGUGGAGGCAUCCGACUUACGAGGCUUUGUUUCUUGCCCCUUGCCUUGGCAGGAC